Molecule: ribosomal RNA, 576 nt
Filed under: Staphylococcus pseudintermedius
Lineage: Bacteria; Bacillati; Bacillota; Bacilli; Caryophanales; Staphylococcaceae
Description: partial 23S ribosomal RNA
Rfam family: Bacterial large subunit ribosomal RNA
Source: RNAcentral
CGGUCGCCUCCUAAAGAGUAACGGAGGCGCUCAAAGGUUCCCUCAGAAUGGUUGGAAAUCAUUCAUAGAGUGUAAAGGCAUAAGGGAGCUUGACUGCGAGACCUACAAGUCGAGCAGGGUCGAAAGACGGACUUAGUGAUCCGGUGGUUCCGCAUGGAAGGGCCAUCGCUCAACGGAUAAAAGCUACCCCGGGGAUAACAGGCUUAUCUCCCCCAAGAGUUCACAUCGACGGGGAGGUUUGGCACCUCGAUGUCGGCUCAUCGCAUCCUGGGGCUGUAGUCGGUCCCAAGGGUUGGGCUGUUCGCCCAUUAAAGCGGUACGCGAGCUGGGUUCAGAACGUCGUGAGACAGUUCGGUCCCUAUCCGUCGUGGGCGUAGGAAAUUUGAGAGGAGCUGUCCUUAGUACGAGAGGACCGGGAUGGACAUACCUCUGGUGUACCAGUUGUCGUGCCAACGGCAUAGCUGGGUAGCUAUGUAUGGACGGGAUAAGUGCUGAAAGCAUCUAAGCAUGAAGCCCCCCUCGAGAUGAGAUUUCCCAACUUCGGUUAUAAGAUCCCUCAAAGAUGAUGAGGUGAAU